Molecule: long non-coding RNA, 2115 nt
Organism: Entelurus aequoreus (snake pipefish)
Lineage: Eukaryota; Metazoa; Chordata; Actinopteri; Syngnathiformes; Syngnathidae
Exons: 3
Source: RefSeq, a predicted model, not a curated record
AGAAAAUUGUAUGCAUGCAAGAAAAUAAGCUAUGAUUAAUCAUGAAAUACACAAAACAUUGUACUGACAGGUAAAAAAAAAGUUGGUUUUAAAUAAUAGAACCCCUUUAAUACAUUUAAGAAACAACAACAUCUCGCCAAUUAUUAUCUAACAUAACUUAUUCAUGAUAAAGUAAAAUAAAAUGUCACCUCUGGUUCCACAGGCCUUACAUAGUUGGAUGGAAAGACUCCGGUUUGGUCGCCAAUGCAUCCUCUCCACCACUCCCCUUCGUGCUCAGUCACCAAGACAACAUCGCCCUCUUCAAAGGUCAGGUCGCCUGCUUCCGGGCUCUCGUACGUGUACAGGGCCACAUAUUCUGUUUUGGGUACAAACACGGAAGCGUCAGUCAGAGGUGGCUAAAAGUUGGAGCAUCUGGAUUGCUAACUUACCUUCAAGCUGAGUACAAUCGCUGACAUCCAGCGUGUCCAUACUUUUAACAACAAUAACAAAAUGUGAACAUAACAGAACAUAACACAUAGGAAGUUGUGUGUCUUCAUACUCCACAUUGCCGACCGCCUCAACAGUGACGCAGCUUCUGGGAAACCAUCCCCGUGUCCCGUUAAGCUGCCCAAACCACCAGUCGCCCCUCUGCUGCAGCACGUUGAUGACAUCGCCCUGCGGCAAGCUGAGCAGCGCAUUGUCGACGUCAUCCGCGUCGAGUGGGAAGUGUGUUGCAGACGGGGCAGGCGACCAUGGAGAGAUGACCCGAGCCAGGACAGGUGCUGCAAACUGGAAGCGUAAUGUGGCACCGCCAGAUGAUAAAGUCUCACCACAGCCUCCAGCUCCAACUCCAGAUUCUUCUUUUUGGCUCGGAGCUGUGAGAUCUCAUCCUGCUCCCCUUCUCGCCUCCUGAUCAGCUCUUCCUUCUUGCUGCGCUCCCAUUGCUCACGACCCUGACGCUCCAGCUCCUGCUUGGCUGCCUGCAGGGAGAAGGAGACAAUAGUGUAGACAGUGAACUUGGAUAUUCUUUCAGCUGCCUUCUCCUCAACAUUUUUCCACUAUCUACACAUUCCACUCAUCCUUACCAUUCAAAUGUAAAUAUUUGGACCCUAAGCUAAAAUUUGAUGGCCAUAUUAUAAAAAUGACUAAAACCAUAAAAAUAAAUAUAAACAGUUUCAGGCUAAUUAAAUCUUGUUUAUCUGUUCAAGCUGCACAAGUUUACAUGCAUGCAAUGAUUUUAUCCCAUACUUUGUCUUAUUGUGCCAUGGUCUGGGGACAGGCCAGGAGACGUGUAGUGAAGCCUCUGUUGUCAUUAUAUAAACAAUCACUAAAGAUAUUUGACCAACAACCAAUGAAGCAUCAUCACGGCCAUAUUACCCAAAAAUAUAACGUGAUGAGUUUUGAUCAUUUUAUAAAUUUCUCAUUUUUAAAAGCUAUUUUUAAGUGUCUUAAUGGAUUAGCCCCUGAUGUGAUGUGUCAAAAAAAAUACAAAGAUACAGUAGUGAAGGUGUGCAGACUCGAGCUGCAGUCGGUGUGAGCUGUAGAGUGAAAAGGUGCCGGACGACUCCGGGUCAGUCUGCGUUCUCAGUGAAGGCCUCACAUCUGUGGAACUCUUUGCCACUGGAGUUAAAGUCACAGUCGGACAUUAAACUUUUGUCCACAAAACUGAAAAAGUGGUUUAAGGAAAAUCAGAAGUGUGAGCACUAGAACUGGAUGUAGUAUGGACAAAUGGGGCCAAUUAUUUUUAAUGUGUUUUGAUUUUUGUACUUGUCUUAAUCCUUUUGUAUGUGUUUUACACUUUUCUCAACUUUUUCUUAAAGCCUAACCAAGGACAAAGGUUGCAAAUUAGCCUGUGGCUAGAAGUCUUAUGUACUUUGACAUCGGUUACCUAUGUGUAUCAAUGUUUAAUUGUACUGUCCCUGUCAAAUAAAUACAUGAAUGAUUGAAUUAAUGAAACUAACAACAUUCAAAGUCCCCCAAAAUUCCUGUUUUUUUCUCCAGAAUUCCCACCAGUUCUAGUUUUAUGUUGUAUUUUCUCUUGAGAAUAUAUACUGUAAUAAAAUUGUAAGAUACUGCAUAAAUACAUCCUCAUAAACUACAGUUGGGAUACAUUGUGUUCGCCUACAACCAUCUACU